RNAcentral lists this ribosomal RNA (486 nucleotides) under uncultured bacterium. Its description in RNAcentral is "partial 16S ribosomal RNA". It matches the Rfam family "Bacterial small subunit ribosomal RNA", at positions 29 to 507 of the family's 1533-position model. The record is from RNAcentral.
AUUGAACGCUGGCGGCAUGCCUUACACAUGCAAGUCGAACGGCAGCACGGGUGCUUGCACCUGGUGGCGAGUGGCGAACGGGUGAGUAAUACAUCGGAACAUGUCCUGUAGUGGGGGAUAGCCCGGCGAAAGCCGGAUUAAUACCGCAUACGAUCUACGGAUGACAGCGGGGGACCUUCGGGCCUCGCGCUAUAGGGUUGGCCGAUGGCUGAUUAGCUAGUUGGUGGGGUAAAGGCCUACCAAGGCGACGAUCAGUAGCUGGUCUGAGAGGACGACCAGCCACACUGGGACUGAGACACGGCCCAGACUCCUAAGGGAGGCAGCAGUGGGGAAUGUUGGACAAUGGGCGAAAGCCUGAUCCAGCAAGGCCGCGUGUGUGAAGAAGGCCUUCGGGUUGUAAAGCACUUUUGUCCGGAAAGAAAUCCUUGGCCCUAAUACGGUCGGGGGAUGACGGUACCGGAAGAAUAGGCACCGGCUAACUACGUG